Molecule: RNA transcript, 436 nt
Organism: Castor canadensis (American beaver)
Lineage: Eukaryota; Metazoa; Chordata; Mammalia; Rodentia; Castoridae
Gene name: ral guanine nucleotide dissociation stimulator-like
Source: RefSeq, a predicted model, not a curated record
UCUGUGUUUCCCAUCCUAGUUUCAAACUUUUGGACUCAUGAGCUCCUCCUCCCUGAAUAUAGAUCUGGGACUGCAGGAACCUGUCACAUUUCCAGACACAAUGUGUAUAUGUCAGGAGACAGCCAGAACAAUGAAAAGACCCCAGUCUACUUACCAACUCAGUGAGUCAAGUUGGAAAAGCCAAAAGCAAAGGAUAAGUGAAAGGCGAAGGAAAUGUGCAGCAAGGAGCAAAUUUUGUGAGGCAGUCAAGGAGAGCCUCUGUGGGAGGGACCAUGUGAGAGUGAAGACUCAGAGGACCCAUGAAGAAAUUGAGGGGGCUGGACUCUCCCUCUGAGCCUUGCAGCUUGUAAGAAAGAUUCCACCAUGUAUUCUUUGGAACCAUGUAUUCUGUUGAUAAUCACCCUAUAGAAUUGUAUUAUCUAUUGUCAAGCCCAGC